CGCCAGCGCAGGAGUCCCUGCGGAUAGAAAAGGAAGGAAUCUGCUGUGCACAGAGUGGGCAAUCAAUUCUGGAAUCAUUAGGAGAGCCUGUGUCCAGAAAGAUGAAAUGCCAAAGGCCCAGACCUUCAGUAACUGUGGAGUGAAACAAACCCGCCUCAGUGAAGCAGGGGGUUGAGAGCUGUCCUGGAUGGCAUUCAUUUAAAUGUCCACACUGUUUGUACCAUGGGAUUGUGGAGCCUGUCCCACUAAUACGGCGGGAUAUAUUCCCCCACCUGCCCCCUUG
Molecule: long non-coding RNA, 283 nt
Filed under: Equus caballus (horse)
Lineage: Eukaryota; Metazoa; Chordata; Mammalia; Perissodactyla; Equidae
Description: lncRNA (ENSECAG00000033193.2)
Source: RNAcentral